Molecule: long non-coding RNA, 5221 nt
Organism: Canis lupus familiaris (dog)
Lineage: Eukaryota; Metazoa; Chordata; Mammalia; Carnivora; Canidae
Exons: 4
Source: RefSeq, a predicted model, not a curated record
UCUCCACUUUAUCUUGGCUUGGGAGGAGGGUUAGGCUUUCCAGGCCAGGCCUGAAAUACCCACAGAGAGGCUUCCUUUCCCCUGACGAUGGACUGUGCUCCUCGGCCCAGCCAGAUGGGCUGCAGAUGUGAGUUCUGGGUUGCAAGAGAGGCCCAGGGAACAGGCGGGGCGCAGCCCCUUGCACGAGAGGUCAGGCUCCGAGCCGGGUCCCACGAGGCCAUAGAAGCGUCAUGCAGGGGUCCUGUAAGCUCAAGUUCACAGUCUGGGAAACAAGAAGGUGGUGCUGAAGAUACUGUCAUGCUUCCGUGAUGCUGGUAGCUGCCUGUCCAAGAACAUCCCGGGCAACAGCUCUCUCAUCUUGGAGCUGCCAGGUCCGCUUGGACAGAAGCCACAACCUCGUGUCAGCCCUGCAGCCCAGCCAGCCCUGGAGCAUCUGCGAGGUCACUAAACAGCUUCUCCUUCCAAUGGAUUAGGGCCUCCCUGCCCCGCCCUCUGCAGCCUGUUCCAGAAUUCUGGGCCCCUUCCCUCAACUCAUCCUCAAGAGCAGCCAAUGCUGACUUUUACCCCAGCGGACCAGCUGCCAUCAUCAGCCCACUGAGCACGGGACCGCUUGGCUUUCUGCCUUGGAAGGGACAGUGCCCUGACCCCCGGAGAGAUCUCGGGGCUUUGCUUCCGGACAGAGGUGAGGCUCAGCCAGGCUGCGGUUCCACCAGCCACGCUGCGUGACUUUGGAAAAGUCACAUCACCUCUCUGACCUUAGCUUUCUUAGCGGUAGCAAGGAGGGAAUCGAUCCCUACCACUCAGGGCUGGUGGCAAGGUUCGAGAAAACAUGCGUAUGUGCCUAACACAGUGCCUGGUACAUAGCCCCGUGCUUCCGAGGGGCUGUUGCUGUUCUGGGUAGCAUCAUUGCUGCUGUUCUUGGGAGCUGCCUGCCUUCUUUCCUCAGCCUCUCCGUUGGCUCCAGAGUCAGAUAGACCUGCAUUCUAAUCCCAGCAUCCCCUCAGAGCUGCGUGGCCUUGAACAGGUUUCUCAGCAUCUCUGAGGCUGCCUCAGUUUCUCCAUCUGUAAAGAGAGGUUCAGCAAGUGCACGUGACUUCCCCAGAGCCACCUACCAGCAAAGCCACUCUGUUUCUUACACCUGGCCCGGAAUGACGACUUAUCUGAAAAUGAUCUCCUUCUUCAAAGUCUAAAGUCCUGUCUGAAAGUCCAGCCCUCCAGGCCCCCAGUUUACCCUGCCGGAAAAACAAAACAAAACAAAACAACCUAACAGAAACCGGGCAACAGACCCUUGGCAGGAUGGCCAUCUCCUUGGCACCGAUGGAAAUCACAGAUUGGCCUGCCCACCACCCCCACACUGGUGUCACAAAGACUUCAGCGUCCCUUAAUCUCACGACACUUCCGCCAUCCUGGUUGUUAGGGCCCCGUUGUUGCAAGAAUUGCUGUAGAAAUUCAAAUAUCUCUGUGUCAGUUGCUUAUUUGAUAACUGUAUUUGGACCACACUGGUUUCCCUACUGACCCUAUGUAUUUGAUUUUAUGGAUUUUGAAGCAUGAGUCUGCGUUCUUUGUUUUGUUUUUAUUUAAAGAUUUUAUUGAUUGAUUUAUUCAUGAGAGACGCAGAGAGAGAGAGGCAAACACAUAGGCAGAGGGAGAAGCAGGCUCCCUGUGGGGACCCCAAUGGAAGACUCGAUCCUGGGGCCCCGGGAUCAUGACCUGAGCCGAAGGCAGAUGCUCAACCCCUGAGCCACCCAGAGAGUGCCCCUGAGUUCUUUGUUUUGAAGAAACAAAUCAGGAGGAGAAUUUCUUGGUGAGACAGAUAUCUAGACCCAGGGUAGGCAAACUAUCUGCUGCCUGUGAUUGUAAAUAAAGUUUAUUGGAACACAGGCUUCAGCAUACUGUUGAAAAGUUGACGGUGUACACAGAUACGCACGCACACAUGAGGUUAGGAACCCCUGUGGUGGCCUCAGUUUUCUUGUCAAUGAAAUAGUCAUCAAGAGUGCCUGCCUUCUGGCAGAUCCGAGAUCACUUACAUCAGUGCAUGUGCGAGCACCACAUUGGAGAUACUCAGUUGAUGCCCGCCUCCCCUUUCCUUCUUGACGGGCUGUGCUCUUCCAACCCAGGACCAAGAACCUGAGUGUUUGCCACCUGCUUUUUGCCGCCUCCCGGGCAGGGCCUCUUGCCACGCGCUGGCUCGCACCGGUCUCCAGGCAUAAAACACCCCUCCCGCUUGCCAUGACACAUGUCCAGUGAGAUGGAGGUUGACAAGGCCACAAAUAUUUGAACUAUCCUUGGGAUAACAUGGGGCAUUGACCCCAAAGUAUGUGCUACAUCGGCCGAAAGUUUAUCCUAGAAUAACAAACGUGACAGCUAGCAAAGUGAGCAGGGGAAAGGGUCCGAUAAGAUAAAAGGCACCCAGAGAGUCCAAAGGCACAGCCCCCUGCAGGGAGGAAGAAAUUCAGGACCCAGCGUGGCAUCAGGGGAGGCAAGGCCGUGGAGUCAAACAGUCCAAUUUCUAGAAAGUUCCCGGCAACCAGCGCAUGGUGCAGGUUGUAUGUACAAACCCAGCUUUGUUUCUGUGUGACCCUGGGUAGUUGUGACAGCAAGGUGCUAAGCUUCCCAUGUGGCUGAGAAAAUUCAGAGGGAGCACUCUAGAGCAUUUAAUGUGUAUUCACACGCUCGGAACAGAGUGAGCCUUCAGCAAAGGCUGCUCUCAUUGCUCUCAACUCCUAACAUCGUGAUCCGGGCACGUGGAGUCUAGUUGUUAAUCUCCCAGACUCAGUGGUCAGACCACCAGCUUUGCUAGUUAAAAUUAUGUGCCCUUGGGCUGCUUUAUCUCUUUGUGCCUCUGCUUUUUACCAUGCUGGGGCAGCAUCCGCACCUUGUAGGGUAGUUGUGGGAAUUAAUUAAGAUUGUAUGUGAAAAAGGCUUAGGCCAGAGCCUGACCCGAAACAAACAUAGAAUAAAUGUUGGUAAUAACCAUUACUCCCAUCAUCAUCAUCAUCAUCAUUGCCAUCAUCAUCAUAGAUCAUCACAAAAUGGACAUGGAGGAAGGGGACCUUGGGAAGAAACAAAUCAAGGGGAGAAUUUCUGGGUGAGACAGAUAUCUAGAGGGGGGUAGGCAAGCUAUCUGCUGCCUGUGCUUGUAAAUAAAGUUUUAUUGGAACACAGCCAUGCCCAUUAGUUUAUUCAUGGUCUACCACUUCUCUCAUACGCAACAGCAGAGCUGAAUACCCUCUGGCCCUUUAGGAAAAAAUUUGUCAUCCCCUGGUGUGGAGGAAUGGUGGUAUCUUAACAAGAUGCUCCGAGAAGUUGCUAAUGAGCUACUUGACGCCUCUGGUUUGAAGUCGGCCGACCCGUGGCCUCGACACUGUCACCUCACCUCCAGCCACCGGCUAUGUUCCACACGCCACCAACACUUUGGCCAGGGGGAGGGGACAGAUGGCUCAAUCAUCUCACUGCAGGCCGGCACCCCGCCUGGAUCAGCCUGAUGGACGGCAGUAUUGACAGUCUGGCUGACCCUUGCUCGACAGGCUGACAUUUCCCCAUAUUUCACGGGCCGACAUUGGAUGUGCAUCAAAGAGACUGCCGGGUCACCAAACAGCUAAUUAAGGCAAUAAAGAGACAGAAGGCCAAAUUGCCCCUUUCCCCCUCGGGAGCCCGACAUCCCUUGUAGGGAACCUGGUGCUUCUCUUUUCUCUGAAGGUACAUUUCAAGGGGUUUUUGGGAAUGAUCCCAGCCAACCCUGGGAUCAGAAAAAGGGACAAGGCGAAAAUCCAUGUUAUCUGGAUAACAUCUCCCCCACCCCCACCUCUGGAUCCAGCCCUGCCUCCGUGAUUGUUGGGUUUUUAGGAGUCCAAUCUGACUUGCGCAAGGUUGAGUCCCCAAGGCUCAGUCCUCCGGGAGGACUGUUUGGAUAGAGCCACUUGGACUCCAAUGGCAUUGAUCAUUACCAGGUCUACGUGACUGCGGGCCACGGCCAGUGAGAUUGAAGGCGUCCGGUGGCCCAGCUCACCUUGAUCACCCUGGCAGUAAGAUAAACACCCGAAUAUGGAGCGGGACGCUCCUGGCCACGUGUCCCAGCCCCACCACGUGCUAGCUGUGUGGCCUUGGCCUAGUUUCUUGACUAUUCUGAGCUGUGGUUUCAUCAUCUCUAAAUAGCAGGUGCAGCUAGUGUCAACUUUGGAGGGUUGCUGCAAAGACUGAACCGGUGGGUUGGUUGAUUCUUGACUCCAGCUUCACAAUAGAAUCACCGGAGGUGCUUCUGGAACAUAUCUUUGUCCAAGCCCAGCCAAGACAAACCAAUUGAGAAUCUCUGGCUUUGGGUCGUGGGUGUCCUGUAUGUUUUUCAAAAAUCUCUUCGGAUGAUUAUUGUGUGCGGUUCAAGGCUAAAAAUCACCACGAUUGCUAGGCUCUCCCCAGGGCCGGUGCACAGCGGGGACUUUGGGAAGGUCAAUCUUACUUUCCUCUCCCUGUACCUGUUUGUUUGUUUGGUUUUUUUCCCUAAACCUCUCCUGUACCUGCCUUAAGGGAAAUACGUGGGACACAUGACUUUGAGCAGCCAAUUUCCCAGGCAUCCAGUAAAGAGAGUUGGAACAUGGUUUUCAACUGGAGGACUUUCACUGGCAAGCUAUGACUGGGAUUCGGGUUCUCUCUCCUCCACAAAGACUGUCCCAGCUCAGCCUUUUCCAGAGUCCUGUGUGGGCCCCGCUCAGUACUAUUUUUCGACAUAGCUCAAAGAAGCUGCUCACUUCAAAUCACAGGUGGCCUCAGGGGCCCGCGGCGCCUACUCCAGAUGUCACAGUGGCCCUACAGCACUGCUGUGGGGACCUGACUCACACCCAGCUGUGUUAGGUGGGCAACUGGACAGAAGUCCCGUUUGGACCAGACUGCAAAAAAGUGAGGGUGACCUAUUUGCCAAUAGGUCUUGCACGUGCUCCAGACUGUCCAUCAGAGCCAUGGGGGUUGACCACCUAUUUUCAAGUGUCUGGAAGAUUUCCACCCGGGGGACCCGGGCUGGGUGACAACCUCCAAUGAAAUGAUGAAGCCACCUGUUGCUUCCCCGGCCAAGUACUGCUUACAUGUCUGCCUGUCUGCCUGUGUGCAGGCACACGAGGAUCUGUAUGCACACAUAGUCUCAUCCAAGGGUGAUUGUGUGUGAGUGCAUACACAGGCGUGUGCACGCAUGGAUAUUCAUGUUGCAGACAUUUAUGUAAGUGCAUGCGUG